GCACGUGUGAUGUGACACCACAGGAUGAGGAACUGUGAUGCUGUAAACGCUUUCUGAUGUG
Molecule: small nucleolar RNA, 61 nt
Organism: Geospiza fortis (medium ground-finch)
Lineage: Eukaryota; Metazoa; Chordata; Aves; Passeriformes; Thraupidae
Source: Ensembl